UGCGCAGGCGGGCUUGUAAGUCAGUGGUGAAAUUCUGCCGCUUAACGGUAGAACUGCCAUUGAUACUGCAAGUCUUGAAUAUGGUUGAGGUAGGCGGAAUGUGUUGUGUAGCGGUGAAAUGCAUAGAUAUGACACAGAACGCCGAUUGCGAAGGCAGCUUACUAAGCCAUAAUUGACGCUGAGGCACGAAAGCGUGGGGAGCGAACAGGAUUAGAUACCCUGGUAGUCC
This 229-nucleotide ribosomal RNA is filed under the name uncultured bacterium. Its description in RNAcentral is "partial 16S ribosomal RNA". It matches the Rfam family "Bacterial small subunit ribosomal RNA", at positions 568 to 796 of the family's 1533-position model. The record is from RNAcentral.